Long non-coding RNA from Meleagris gallopavo (turkey), 2268 nucleotides. RefSeq lists it as uncharacterized. The record is from RefSeq and is a predicted model, not a curated record. Lineage: Eukaryota; Metazoa; Chordata; Aves; Galliformes; Phasianidae.
CCACCAGUGGGGAAGGAUAUCUUCUGGAGAUCUACUCUGCUGGAGUUUUCCAUGUGAGCCCAGGUUAUGGAAAGAAAAAAGAUGUCUUAUCAUCCCAGGAUGAGGCUUCAGGGUUGGAAGUUAAAUGAACUACUGGGAAUGCAGAAAUUACAUUGAGACUGAUUCAAAAGUGGAGAGGAUUUCUGUGGGUAAGCAUGAAGUAUGAAACAGAAGAGGAAAAGCAAGAAAAGAAGAUAGGAGUAACUACCACGAAUCAGCAUCCUCUCAAGAAGCAGAGAUCACAUGUCAAUAAAUACCUCUGUCUCAUACCAGGCUGAGACUUCAGGAAUGGAAGUGAGAUGAACUACUGGGAAUGCAGAAAUUACAGUGAGACUGAUUCAAAAGCGGAGAGGAUUUCUGUGGGUAAGCAUGAAGAACAGAACAAAGCUGGACAAACAAACUGGAUUUCUCUGCAAGAAGAGAGGGAUGUGUGGAGAAAGAAAACAUCAAUCCUAAAGAAAGCUGCAAGAUAUUACCUGUUAGAUAAACGGUCACCUAUGCAUACAUCUUGCCAUGAGGAUGCAUAAACUGGCAGAUCAAAUGAACACAAUCAACCCUGAAUAGGAUGUAUGAGCAGGCACAAGAUGCAGAUAAUGUUAGCUGAAUUUUUGGAACAGGCGAGAUCAAGUAUAGCAGUACUGCUGACCAGUGACUUCAGUAAUGUCUCAUGAUCUUCCAUCAUCUCUCCAGCAUUUUUCUCAACAUGCAAAUUAAGUGAAACAAGUCCCUUUUUACAUGAUCAGAAUAAUAUUAACUACAAUAUAGAUGUCAUCACGCUGGAUAUCCUCUUGGCAGUUUCAGAAAAGAUGUCAGGCUCCAUUUGUGAAGGCAGAGUUGCUCUCUCACACAUUGUUGUCUCUGAAGUACACAGGUACAUAGAGGCAGAGUCAUAGAGGUAUUUCUCUUCCCUGCAUGUAUUGCAUUUUUCCCAAAUAUGAGAAACAUUCCUCAGAACAAUUACUUGUCUCUUUGGAAAGCACUGUGUUUGCUUGAAAAAGUGGUUGACUACUGAGCAAUACUAAAGGUGUUGAAUCUUUCCUAAAGGACCUCUGAUUAAUCUGUUUAGUUAUCUGAUGAAGCCAUCACAUUUGUUGACUUUAUCACCUAUAAGACUGUCACUUUUGCUGAUCUUGUGGCUUGCUCUGUGGCUAGGUUUUGUACUCACACUUGUCUCCUAACUAAGGGUUGCUAAUACUGACAAGGAUGUAGUCUGAUGCAACAUAUUGGGGGAAAUUUCUUAUUUCCCAGAUUUAUGAAUAUAUUCCCAGAAUAGUAUUUCUUGUUAUGCCAGAAAUUGUCAUGAAACCUCUUUUUGUGAAAGAAACACUAAGUUUCCAAAUAUAUAUUUUCCUCUGUUGAUGCUUGUGUCAUCCCUAGCUUCCACAGGGUUUUCUCAUUGGACCUUCUUAGUUACCUUCUACAGAGAAUCAUUAAGGUUGGAAAAGACCAGGAAGAUCAUCUAAUUCAAUUAUCAGUCCAUCCUCACCAAACCAUAUCCUCAGUGCCACAUUUACAUGUUUCUGGAAAACCUCUAGGGAUGGUGACAGCACCACCUCUCUGGGCAGCCUGUUCCAGUACCUCACCACUCUUCCUGAAGAAAUUCUUCCUAACAUCCAAUCUGAAACUCAUCUAGCACAACUUGAGGAUGUUACUCCUUGUUCUAUUGUUAGAAAAGGCUGAUUCCCACCUCACUACAAUUUCCUCUCAUGUAGCUGUAGAGGUGCACUACUUUCACCAGCAAAAGUGGACUUUGUGGCCGUUGUGUACUCUUGUCACAAGCCAAAGAGGAGGUGAGGUAUGGCUCUGAAUCCUUGUGAGUCUAAAUUGCAAAUGUGACUGAACAUCCCAGCAGUAAGAAAAAUGUCAGCAGCCCCCUCAUGGUGCAGAUGCCCUUUCUUUGCAGCUAAAUUCUGGGCUGAUCCUCAUCUCCUCUCUGCAUUCUUAUUAAAGAUAUUAAAAAUAUCUGACCUUGUGAAACUUCACAUCUCUUUCUGGGCUGCCCCUCCCUGUCCAGUGAAACACCCGUGGAGGUCUGCUGAGGACCAGGCAGCUCUGUCUGUUUCCACGUGUCCGACCUGGAUCUGGUGGCCCCCUGCUGCCGGCUCUCCCUAAUUUUAAUCUUCUCCCACAGCUUGAUAACCUAUUUUCAUGCACCUACAAGGACAUAGACUUGUUUUCUUUCAAUGUACCAACAUCUGUAAGGGGGCGGGGGCACGGUGUAUGCUCAAC